Molecule: ribosomal RNA, 500 nt
Filed under: uncultured bacterium
Lineage: Bacteria
Description: partial 16S ribosomal RNA
Rfam family: Bacterial small subunit ribosomal RNA
Source: RNAcentral
AUUGUACGCUGGCGGCAUGCUUUACACAUGCAAGUCGAACGGUAACAGGGCGCUUGCACCGCUGACGAGUGGCGAACGGGUGAGUAAUGCGUCGGAACGUGCCGAGUAGUGGGGGAUAACGCAGCGAAAGUUGUGCUAAUACCGCAUACGUACUGAGGUAGAAAGUGGGGGACCUUCGGGCCUCACGCUAUUCGAGCGGCCGACGUCUGAUUAGCUAGUAGGUGAGGUAAAGGCUCACCUAGGCGACGAUCAGUAGCGGGUCUGAGAGGAUGAUCCGCCACACUGGGACUGAGACACGGCCCAGACUCCUACGGGAGGCAGCAGUGGGGAAUGUUGGACAAUGGGCGAAAGCCUGAUCCAGCCAUGCCGCGUGUCUGAAGAAGGCCUUCGGGUUGUAAAGGACUUUUGUCAGGGAGGAAAUCCCUAGUGCUAAUAACACUGGGGGAUGACAGUACCUGAAGAAUAAGCACCGGCUAACUACGUGCCAGCAGCCGCCGUAA